RNAcentral lists this ribosomal RNA (253 nucleotides) under uncultured bacterium. RNAcentral's name for it is "partial 16S ribosomal RNA". It matches the Rfam family "Bacterial small subunit ribosomal RNA", at positions 524 to 776 of the family's 1533-position model. The record is from RNAcentral.
UACGUAGGUGGCAAGCGUUGUCCGGAUUUACUGGGCGUAAAGAGCGCGCAGGCGGUCGUUCAAGUCGCGUGUGAAAGCCCCCGGCUCAACUGGGGAGGGUCACGCGAUACUGAUCGACUCGAAGGCAGGAGAGGGUAGUGGAAUUCCCGGUGUAGUGGUGAAAUGCGUAGAUAUCGGAAGGAACACCGGUGGCGAAAGCGGCGCGCUGGACCUCUUCUGACGCUGAGGCGCGAAAGCCAGGGGAGCGAACGGG